RNAcentral lists this ribosomal RNA (425 nucleotides) under uncultured bacterium. RNAcentral describes it as "partial 16S ribosomal RNA". It matches the Rfam family "Bacterial small subunit ribosomal RNA", at positions 354 to 796 of the family's 1533-position model. The record is from RNAcentral.
GUGGGGAAUAUUGGGCAAUGGGCGAAAGCCUGACCCAGCAACGCCGCGUGAAGGAAGAAGGUUUUCGGAUCGUAAACUUCUAUCCUUGGUGAAGAUAAUGACGGUAGCCAAGAAGGAAGCCCCGGCUAACUACGUGCCAGCAGCCGCGGUAAUACGUAGGGGGCAAGCGUUGUCCGGAAUGAUUGGGCGUAACGGGCGCGUAGGCGGCCUGGUAAGUCUGGAGUGAAAGUCCUGCUUUUAAGGUGGGAAUUGCUUUGGAUACUGUCGGGCUUGAGUGCAGGAGAGGUAAGGGGAAUUCCCGGUGUAGCGGUGAAAUGCGUAGAGAUCGGGAGGAACACCAGUGGCGAAGGCGACUUACUGGACUGUAACUGACGCUGAGGCGCGAAAGUGUGGGGAGCAAACAGGAUUAGAAACCCCUGUAGUCC